RNAcentral lists this microRNA precursor (71 nucleotides) under Drosophila virilis. RNAcentral describes it as "mir-33 microRNA precursor family". It matches the Rfam family "mir-33 microRNA precursor family". The record is from Rfam by way of RNAcentral. Lineage: Eukaryota; Metazoa; Arthropoda; Insecta; Diptera; Drosophilidae.
CGGAGGUGCAUUGUAGUCGCAUUGUCUGUCUCAAAUUUGCCCGCGGCAAUACAACUGCAGUGCAAGCUCCG